UCGCAUAACACGCAGUGCGGCGCGGCGGC
This 29-nucleotide small RNA is filed under the name Bombyx mori (domestic silkworm). RNAcentral's name for it is "ovarian small RNA-28616". The record is from RNAcentral. Lineage: Eukaryota; Metazoa; Arthropoda; Insecta; Lepidoptera; Bombycidae.